GCGGCCUAUCAGCUUGUUGGCGGGGUAAUGGCCCACCAAGGCGACGACGGGUAGCUGGUCUGAGAGGAUGGCCAGCCACAUUGGGACUGAGAGACGGCCCAGACUCCUACGGGAGGCAGCAGUGGGGAAUCUUGCGCAAUGGUCUAACGGCUGACGCAGCGACGCCGCGUGUGGGAGGACGCCUUUCGGGGUGUAAACCACUGUUGCCCGGGACGGACAGCCCUUUUCGAGGGGUCUGACGGUACCGGGUGAGGAAGCACCGGCUAACUCCGUGCCAGCAGCCGCGGUAAUACGGAGGGUGCGAGCGUUGUCCGGAAUCAUUGGGCGUAAAGGGCGCGUAGGUGGCACGAUCAGCGUGCGGUGAAAGCUCGGGGCUCAACCCCGAGUCGGCCAUGCGAACUAUCGAGCUGGAGCACUGUAGAGGCAGGCGGAAUUCCGGGUGUAGCGGUGGAAUGCGUAGAGAUCCGGAAGAACACCGGUGGCGAAGGCGGCCUGCUGGGCAGUUGCUGACACUGAGGCGCGACAGCGUGGGGAGCAAACAGGAUUAGAUACCCUGGUAGUCCACGCCGUAAACGAUGGGCACUAGGCGCUUGGGGGAGCGACCCCCCGAGGGCCGGCGCUAACGCAUUAAGUGCCCCGCCUGGGGAGUACG
Molecule: ribosomal RNA, 652 nt
Filed under: uncultured bacterium
Lineage: Bacteria
Description: bacterial SSU rRNA
Rfam family: Bacterial small subunit ribosomal RNA
Source: RNAcentral